AUACUGACUGCCAGGUGUAAAGGGCGGAGCUUAUAACAAUGAUUGACAGGGAGCUAAGAUGGAGGCGGCUCUCUCUAUACUGACUGCCAGGUGUAAAGGGUGGAGCUUAUAACAAUGAUUGACAGGGAGCUAAGAUGGAGGUGGCUCUCUCUAUACUGACUGCCAGGUGUAAAGGGCGGAGCUUAUAACAAUGAUUGACAGGGAGCUAAGAUGGAGGUGGCUCUCUCUAUACUGACUGCCAGGUGUAAUGGGCGGAGCUUAUAACAAUGAUUGACAGGGAGCUAAGAUGGAGGUGGCUCUCUC
Non-coding RNA from Pelobates cultripes (western spadefoot toad), 303 nucleotides. The record is from the annotation of a GenBank genome assembly. NCBI's taxonomy places the organism in Eukaryota, Metazoa, Chordata, Amphibia, Anura, Pelobatidae.